CCUACGGGGGGCAGCAGUGGGGAAUAUUGCACAAUGGGCGCAAGCCUGAUGCAGCCAUGCCGCGUGUGUGAAGAAGGCCUUCGGGUUGUAAAGCACUUUCAGCGGGGAGGAAGGCGGUGAGGUUAAUAACCUCAUCGAUUGACGUUACCCGCAGAAGAAGCACCGGCUAACUCCGUGCCAGCAGCCGCGGUAAUACGGAGGGUGCAAGCGUUAAUCGGAAUUACUGGGCGUAAAGCGCACGCAGGCGGUCUGUCAAGUCGGAUGUGAAAUCCCCGGGCUCAACCUGGGAACUGCAUUCGAAACUGGCAGGCUAGAGUCUGGUAGAGGGGGGUAGAAUUCCAGGUGUAGCGGUGAAAUGCGUAGAGAUCUGGAGGAAUACCGGUGGCGAAGGCGGCCCCCUGGACAAAGACUGACGCUCGGGUGCGAAAGCGUGGGGAGCAAACAGGAUUAGAUACCCCUGUAGUC
Molecule: ribosomal RNA, 465 nt
Filed under: uncultured Klebsiella sp.
Lineage: Bacteria; Pseudomonadati; Pseudomonadota; Gammaproteobacteria; Enterobacterales; Enterobacteriaceae
Description: bacterial SSU rRNA
Rfam family: Bacterial small subunit ribosomal RNA
Source: RNAcentral